This 29-nucleotide non-coding RNA is filed under the name Mus musculus (house mouse). Lineage: Eukaryota; Metazoa; Chordata; Mammalia; Rodentia; Muridae. The record is from RNAcentral.
UGGUCCAAUUGCUUGCCUAUACAUAACUG